RNAcentral lists this ribosomal RNA (254 nucleotides) under uncultured bacterium. Its description in RNAcentral is "partial 16S ribosomal RNA". It matches the Rfam family "Bacterial small subunit ribosomal RNA", at positions 524 to 776 of the family's 1533-position model. The record is from RNAcentral.
UACGUAGGGGGCAAGCGUUGUCCGGAUUUAUUGGGCGUAAAGAGCUCGUAGGCGGCUCAGAAAGUCGGGUGUGAAACCUCCAGGCUCAACCUGGAGACGCCACCUGAUACUGCUGUGGCUAGAGUCCGGUAGGGGAACGCGGAAUACCCGGUGUAGCGGUGAAAUGCUUAGAUAUCGGGUGGAACACCAGUGGCGAAGGCGGUGUUCUGGGCCGGAACUGACGCUGAGGAGCGAAAGCGUGGGUAGCAAACAGG